GGAAGUUUAAAUUGGUACAUUUAUCAGGGCAACCGGGAAAAAUGUAUCAAAAUUACAAGUGCAAAUACUUCUUUUACCUUUUUUUAAUUGAAAUAUAAUUAAUUUACAAUGUGUUAGUUUCAAAUGUACAGCAAAUUGAUUCAGUUUUAUGUUCUUUUUCAGAUUCUUUUCCAUUAUAAGUUAUUACAACAUAUUGCGUAUAGUUCCCCGUGCUAUACACUGUCUGACUCAGAACCAGAACAAACCUCUAAAUCUUCCUGUGCGUCUCCCAAAGUUUGUUUCAUCCAGAGACAAAGGAGGAAGAAUCCUUCAAGUUGGCCUGCUCACGAAAAACUCAAGAGGAUGAAAUGGAGAACUCCCAGGCCCUGCCUCGUACUCAGAGAAAAUGGGAGACUGCCUGACUGUGGGCAUCACAAGAAUUUCAAGGCCCAGAACCUGAGGGACCUGGCUGGCAUGGCUCGCUGAGUCUCAGAAUAAUCACCUUCUAUGGUAGCCUAAGUUGUUCCUGAGGCUUUGACUUGAGGGACAGCCCACCCUACAGAAUUGCUAAGAAAGGCAAACUUUGGGUGCACUCUGAAAGAUUCAAGGCUACGGGGAGCCACGUUCACCCUCCGGCAUGUAUAUCCUGUUUAUAUCCUUCGCUCUGCUUGUUAGCUUAUCCAGAACAAAACCAAGGUAAUAUCAACUUGAGUGGAGGCCAAGUAUUUAUUCUCUCCAUUCCCUGAACCCAGACCAGAUUCCAUGGUCCAGUUUUCAGCUUACAUUAUAUCAUCCAGCUCUGUUUUUACAGUAAACGUAUUUAAUAAAAGAUGACAAUUUAUGCACAGUGAAUAUUAUUUUAAGAGAAACUAGAGGAAUAGGCUUAUGCCCUGAAAGAGCUCACUUUCCAGUGAGGGAGACAAAAAGUAUAAAAACCUUUACCAUUGAAAGCCAUGUCGAAGCUAUGGGGGCUGAGAUCUAUGAUGAACCAUGGGUCAUUCACUCCAUUGAAUGUAAUAGUGUGUAAACCUACCUUCUCAAAUUACUUAUUUUCAAUAGAAUUUUAAAACAUAAGAUUAUCCAGUACGGAAUUAUUUAAUCUAUCUAAACUAGACCUCUGUGAGCAUACCACAAUACCACACACUUCUACCUCUGAUUCCAAUAUUUCUUUGGGGUCGGGGCAGAAGGCCACUGUACUUAACCUUGCCCUGGUGCCUGCAGUGAGUGGCUCAUUGGUCACCUUGUACGGGUGGGUUCUCUCUUUUUCCCAGGCGGCAACCUAAGCUGUCCCCGUGGCCUGGAUAUGGUAUGAGAGGUCUCACGGAGAUGAGAACCAGAGUCUCAGUUUCCAGGGUUAGGAGAGUGGGGAGAUAGCGUGCACCCCUCCCAUGGGAACAAGCGUCAUCAAGCUAGGAAAGCUCAGGGGUUUAUACCACGUGAACCCUACUGUGUUUUUCCUAGCAUAUGACAUAGUGUCCUUUAAUAGAUGAGGAAGCACGUACGUGUUCGUUCUGAUACGGUACAAAGGAUCGAACUUGGACUUAGAAUCUUAAUUCAUAUACAGAAACAGGAAGAAGUGCCCCAAUUGGGGAAGUGUGGGGCGCUGUGGCAGCACAGAAGAACUAACGUCUGGACUACGACCUGAAAAUGACUGACUUGACUUGUUCUCCCACCCAGCCAGCAAUCCCCUUGUACCCCGCCUCCCUCUUUUCUACAGUCACUGGAAGCCCAAGCCUCCCUGGUCACCUCCUCUGUAUGGUCACGCUCAUCCUGCUCAGCACAGCUCCCGGUCUGACCAAACUCCCCACCCUUCCGGGCCCUCCGAAACCUUUCUAUGUGCCUUCUAGAACCCUGAAGUUCCAGAUGUGUGGUAAACACUCUGCCCCCUAACCUUAACCUCCCUCAUCAAUGCUGCUUCUGACUCCUUGACCUUACUGUGCAUGACCUGUUGAUCUCCUGAGGACACUGGCUCCUCUAUAGCCUUUUCA
Globicephala melas (long-finned pilot whale) is the source of this 1967-nucleotide long non-coding RNA. RefSeq lists it as uncharacterized. The record is from RefSeq and is a predicted model, not a curated record. NCBI's taxonomy places the organism in Eukaryota, Metazoa, Chordata, Mammalia, Artiodactyla, Delphinidae.